Molecule: non-coding RNA, 46 nt
Organism: Bombyx mori (domestic silkworm)
Lineage: Eukaryota; Metazoa; Arthropoda; Insecta; Lepidoptera; Bombycidae
Source: Rfam
ACAAAGGCCCUUUUCAGGGCCGCAUUUUAUCUGUAUUGAAAAACCU